Molecule: ribosomal RNA, 427 nt
Filed under: uncultured Campylobacterota bacterium
Lineage: Bacteria; Pseudomonadati; Campylobacterota
Description: bacterial SSU rRNA
Rfam family: Bacterial small subunit ribosomal RNA
Source: RNAcentral
AACGCGAAGAACCUUACCUGGACUUGACAUAGUAAGAAUGUUUUAGAGAUAGAACAGUGUCUGCUUGCAGAAGCUUGCAUACAGGUGCUGCACGGCUGUCGUCAGCUCGUGUCGUGAGAUGUUGGGUUAAGUCCCGCAACGAGCGCAACCCUCGUCGUUAGUUGCUAACAGUUCGGCUGAGGACUCUAACGAGACUGCCUGGGCAACCAGGAAGGAGGGUGAGGACGACGUCCAGUCAUCAUGCCCCUUACGUCCAGGCUACAAAACGUCCUACAAUGGGGUAUACCAAAGAAGCAGCGAAUACAGUGAUGUGGAGGCAAAACUCUUAAAAUAUUCUCCAGAGUCCGAAUAGUAGGUCUGCCACUCCGACCACCUGGGAGUGGGGAUUGCUUAGGUAACCGUAGACUACGACCAAUGCACACGGUGA